AAGCCAUGCAUGUCUAAGUAUAAGCAAUUAUACCGUGAAACUGCGAAUGGCUCAUUAAAUCAGUUAUCGUUUAUUUGAUAGUACCUUACUACUUGGAUAACCGUGGUAAUUCUAGAGCUAAUACAUGCUGAAAACCCUGACUUCGGAAAGGGUGUAUUUAUUAGAUAAAAAACCAAUGCCCUUUGGGCUCUUGGUGAUUCAUGAUAACUUAACGGAUCGCAUGGCCUUGCGCCGGCGACGGUUCAUUCAAAUUUCUGCCCUAUCAACUUUCGAUGGUAAGGUAUUGGCUUACCAUGGUUUCAACGGGUAACGGGGAAUUAGGGUUCGAUUCCGGAGAGGGAGCCUGAGAAACGGCUACCACAUCCAAGGAAGGCAGCAGGCGCGCAAAUUACCCAAUCCCGACACGGGGAGGUAGUGACAAUAAAUACUGAUACAGGGCUCUUUAGGGUCUUGUAAUCGGAAUGAGUACAAUUUAAACCUCUUAACGAGGAACAAUUGGAGGGCAAGUCUGGUGCCAGCAGCCGCGGUAAUUCCAGCUCCAAUAGCGUAUAUUAAAGUUGUUGCAGUUAAAAAGCUCGUAGUUGAAUCUUGGGCCUGGCUGGCCGGUCCGCCUCACCGCGUGUACUGGUCUGGCCGGGCCUUUCCUUCUGGAGAACCUCAUGCCCUUCAGUGGGUGUGUUGGGGAACCAGGACUUUUACUUUGAAAAAAUUAGAGUGUUCAAAGCAGGCCUUUGCUCGAAUACGUUAGCAUGGAAUAAUAGAAUAGGACGUGCGGUCCUAUUUUGUUGGUUUCUAGGACCGCCGUAAUGAUUAAUAGGGAUAGUCGGGGGCAUCAGUAUUCAAUUGUCAGAGGUGAAAUUCUUGGAUUUAUUGAAGACUAACUACUGCGAAAGCAUUUGCCAAGGAUGUUUUCAUUAAUCAGUGAACGAAAGUUAGGGGAUCGAAGACGAUCAGAUACCGUCGUAGUCUUAACCGUAAACUAUGCCGACUAGGGAUCGGGCGAUGUUUCUAUAUUGACUCGCUCGGCACCUUACGAGAAAUCAAAGUUUUUGGGUUCUGGGGGGAGUAUGGUCGCAAGGCUGAA
RNAcentral lists this ribosomal RNA (1084 nucleotides) under Lophiostoma biappendiculatum. RNAcentral describes it as "SSU rRNA". It matches the Rfam family "Eukaryotic small subunit ribosomal RNA", at positions 46 to 1141 of the family's 1831-position model. Lineage: Eukaryota; Fungi; Ascomycota; Dothideomycetes; Pleosporales; Lophiostomataceae. The record is from RNAcentral.